RNAcentral lists this ribosomal RNA (253 nucleotides) under uncultured bacterium. Its description in RNAcentral is "partial 16S ribosomal RNA". It matches the Rfam family "Bacterial small subunit ribosomal RNA", at positions 524 to 776 of the family's 1533-position model. The record is from RNAcentral.
UACGUAGGUGGCAAGCGUUGUCCGGAAUUAUUGGGCGUAAAGCGCGCGCAGGCGGUCCCUUAAGUCUGAUGUGAAAGCCCACGGCUCAACCGUGGAGGGUCAUUGGAAACUGGGGGACUUGAGUGCAGAAGAGGAAAGUGGAAUUCCAUGUGUAGCGGUGAAAUGCGUAGAGAUGUGGAGGAACACCAGUGGCGAAGGCGACUUUCUGCUCUGUAACUGACGCUGAGGCGCGAAAGCGUGGGGAGCAAACAGG